UGGAAUGGGCGCUCUCAGGGAAGC
RNAcentral lists this microRNA (24 nucleotides) under Brachypodium distachyon (stiff brome). RNAcentral describes it as "bdi-miR7749-3p". The record is from miRBase by way of RNAcentral. Lineage: Eukaryota; Viridiplantae; Streptophyta; Magnoliopsida; Poales; Poaceae.